AUGAAGGGACCCGGAAAGAGGGGUGGAGGUUGGAGUGAGCCGUGGUGGGAGCCGCGUAGGCAGCUGUGGACGGGGAUGGUGAGGGUGCAAAGUAUAUCUACCUCCUCGCUGGAAUUGGCGGUUGUUGACAGUGUUGACGGAUGUAGGUGGCUUGCCUUACCCUGGUGAUAAUGCCCAGGUACUGGGUCUGUGUGGGUCGGGCUUGGAUAUUGAUGGUAUAAUCACAAUAGCCACAAAAUAGGAAUGUCGAGUGCAGAACCUGGAGAGAAAGAGCGUGACGACAGAAGUAAGGAAGAGCAAGGGAAUAAGGGUAAAUAAGAUAUAUCCCACGACAAGGAGGUGCCUGCUUCUGGUGUGUGUAUUAAUAGAUUUACUGCCUGCGCAGCAGCGAGACCUCAAACUCUCUGUCUCUGCCUCUCUCGCUCUCUCGCAGUUCGUUUUUUCCCCUGCCUAUUUAUAUCUCCUCCUUUUCUUUCUUUCUUUCUUUCUUCCUUCCUUACCGUCCUUCCGUCCUUUCUUCUUUCUCGCGAUAUAUCAAUCGUUCUCUAUCUCCGUUGUCUACCUUUGGCACAGCAGAGACCUCUCGCAGUCGUAGCAAUUGACUUUUGACAAGGGCGUGCGGCUUGGCGGAAGCGACGACAUCGGAAAACGGCGCUUAUGUAACAAAAUGAUCGACUCCGGG
RNAcentral lists this small RNA (682 nucleotides) under Histoplasma capsulatum var. duboisii H88. RNAcentral's name for it is "Histoplasma capsulatum H88 hypothetical RNA". The record is from RNAcentral. Lineage: Eukaryota; Fungi; Ascomycota; Eurotiomycetes; Onygenales; Ajellomycetaceae.